GUUUUAUGAUGAGCGUAGACAAAGAUAGUCACAGCCUUGGCUUGUUCAAUUAUCUUAGAAAAAUAUUGAAGCUUGGAAAUUCCCUCAAGCAUCAAAUCCAAUGUGUGAGCAGCACAUCCUGUCCAAAAUAUCCUUGGUCUCUUCUCUUUUAGCAUCUUCGCAGCAGCCACAUUGUUGGUAGCAUUGUUUGUGACCACUUGCACUAUCUUUUCAGAUCCUAUAUCUUCACUCCACUGGUCAAUGUAUUGGAAGAUGUAGUCACCAGUGUGAGAAUCCUUAGAUGUGUCUUUUGAUGAAGAAAACAUGUACCUCCUCUUGAGUUCACACACAAAUUCAUUAUACUUUUUCUUUUCAUAUCAGACCAAGCAUCUAUCAUCAC
Molecule: long non-coding RNA, 379 nt
Filed under: Brassica napus (rape)
Lineage: Eukaryota; Viridiplantae; Streptophyta; Magnoliopsida; Brassicales; Brassicaceae
Description: long non-coding RNA (BNAP_LNC015724)
Source: RNAcentral